AGAGUUUGAUCCUGGCUCAGGAUGAACGCUGGCGGUCUGCUUAACACAUGCAAGUCGAACGGGCUCUUUCGGGAGCUAGUGGCGGACGGGUGAGUAACGCGUGAGAAUCUGCCAAAAGGACUGGGACAACCACUGGAAACGGUGGCUAAUACCGGAUGAGCCGCAACGUAAAAGAGGAAACUCGCCUUUUGAGGAGCUCGCGUCUGAUUAGCUAGUUGGUGAGGUAAGAGCUCACCAAGGCAUCGAUCAGUAGCUGGUCUGAGAGGAUGAUCAGCCACACUGGGACUGAGACACGGCCCAGACUCCUACGGGAGGCAGCAGUGGGGAAUUUUCCGCAAUGGGCGAAAGCCUGACGGAGCAAGACCGCGUGAGGGAGGAAGGCUCUUGGGUUGUAAACCUCUUUUGUCAGGGAAGAACACAAUGACGGUACCUGAAGAAUCAGCAUCGGCUAACUCCGUGCCAGCAGCCGCGGUAAUACGGGGGAUGCAAGCGUUAUCCGGAAUUAUUGGGCGUAAAGCGUCCGCAGGUGGCUAAUCAAGUCUGCUGUCAAAGAUUGGGGCUUAACCCCAAAAAGGCAGUGGAAACUGAGAAGCUAGAGUGCAGUAGGGGUAGAGGGAAUUCCCGGUGUAGCGGUGAAAUGCGUAGAGAUCGGGAAGAACAUCGGUGGUGAAAGCGCUCUACUGGACUGCAACUGACACUCAGGGACGAAAGCUAGGGGAGCGAAUGGGAUUAGAUACCCCCGUAGUCC
RNAcentral lists this ribosomal RNA (748 nucleotides) under uncultured cyanobacterium. RNAcentral describes it as "bacterial SSU rRNA". It matches the Rfam family "Bacterial small subunit ribosomal RNA", at positions 8 to 796 of the family's 1533-position model. Lineage: Bacteria; Bacillati; Cyanobacteriota. The record is from RNAcentral.